GGGCCUUUAGCUCAGUCGGUAGAGCAGUGGACUUUUAAUCCAUUGGUCGCGGGUUCGAGCCCCGCAGGGCCCA
This 73-nucleotide transfer RNA is filed under the name Agrococcus casei. RNAcentral's name for it is "tRNA-Lys". It matches the Rfam family "tRNA". Rfam says of the family: Transfer RNA (tRNA) molecules are approximately 80 nucleotides in length. Their secondary structure includes four short double-helical elements and three loops (D, anti-codon, and T loops). RNAcentral also lists the same sequence under 1 other name. The record is from RNAcentral. Lineage: Bacteria; Bacillati; Actinomycetota; Actinomycetes; Micrococcales; Microbacteriaceae.